This 556-nucleotide long non-coding RNA is filed under the name Helianthus annuus (common sunflower). Lineage: Eukaryota; Viridiplantae; Streptophyta; Magnoliopsida; Asterales; Asteraceae. The record is from RNAcentral.
CAUGACAACAUACAUCCCUCAUGAUCCAUCUGAUUUUUUUUUUUGGCUUUGAUACCAAAGGAAUGAGAUGCAAUUAUCUUGCACAUGAGAUAAAUCCAAGGCUUAAAUGAGGCAUGAGAAUAUGUAUUUGGUAUAAAUUGCAUGCGUGACGAUGCCAGAACUGCAAGCUCUGAUACGUGUAUGGGAGCAAAGAACUCCACCACUCUAUCCUACCGGUGAUUACUUUGUAGCAAAGACUAUUUGUCAAUAAAUUACUUUUUGUAUGAUUUAGUUAUGUGUUAAUCAUAAAUAGCUUUACUAUGAUUUAUUUCAUUGAUUAUUGAUUACAUGUGUUCUGCUCAAUAUAUGUUAAGGUCAAAAUAGGUUCGGGUCAGUCAAAACAGGUUUUGCUCAAAAUAGGUUCAUGUCAAUAUGUGUUCUGCUCAAUAUGCAUUAAGGUCAAAACUGGUUAAAAAUGCUUUAUCUAAGAAAAUAUAUAUCAAAUAACCAAAGUUAUAAAAAAGUAAUUAAAAAAAAUGAAAUCUAUCCGGGUUCUAAAAAUUGCUAUAAAAUCAUU